Triticum dicoccoides is the source of this 988-nucleotide long non-coding RNA. RefSeq lists it as uncharacterized. NCBI's taxonomy places the organism in Eukaryota, Viridiplantae, Streptophyta, Magnoliopsida, Poales, Poaceae. The transcript has 3 exons. The record is from RefSeq and is a predicted model, not a curated record.
AAAAAAAAAAUACUACAUUUUCAGUGCUGCAGAUGUGGCCAUGAUAUUCGGCAUACGGUCUGGCAACAGAGAUGUGCUCGGUCCGGAUGGUAACAUCAAUGAGGCGGCAAGCGCGGCGGUCCUUUCUAUGUGAACAGAAUGCACAAGCAACCCGCCAUGUCACCACUGCGCGCCAUAACAUACACACCGACAUGAUCAACUUCACAGACAAGCUGAUGGCAACACUUUGCAUCCAAGUGCACAUGCUGUGUUGCGAGGGCUUACUCUGACUGUCCCCCUGAAAAUGAUAGAUAACAAUGCAACAUCUACCGAACCUCACCCAGCUAAUCCACCCAGUUCUACUCUACAAGCCAUUGUACCGAACCCCAGUUUCUAGCAAAAUCCAUGGCGUGAGGCUUGAAAUUGUCUGAUUGUGAAGGAGAGCGCUCUUCUAAUAAACAUAAACCGGCUAAAUGGAUGAGGCAAUCCGGCUCCACUUCCCGCCCUCAGGAAACCAAGGCCUCCAAAAGCCCUAGCAAGGAAUCUGUAAGUGAUGCUCGGACAACUGAAUCAAUUUGAUCUACUGUCCAGCACUAUGCAUGGUGCAUAUCAGUUUCAGUUAGGGAUAUGUACGCCGACUGCCAGAAGGGUGAUCCUUCGACAGUAAUUUUUGUUGUCAACCGCAUCAACAUACCGAAGAGGAAGUAUGUAUCAUCAAGGAGUUAUGCCACCAACCCAUGGUUCGCAGGCCGGCCAGUCGUUCCAACAUCAACUACUACUGUUGAACUUCUUGAAUCCCACUUCCAAUCGCUGUCUGCACACCACCUUGCCAGAACUGGAUAGUACACAAUGCUCCACAGUUCGUACGAGUUAGCGGGAAGGACAUCAUGGAUCAGCUAGUCGGCAAUGACAUGCUCGAUCAUGAACUAGGGUGUAACAUUUUGUGGCGGCAGGACCAGGUCGAUCUGGAGUCAAACCACGCUUUGCCAUAUCUGAAUCACCGUCACAU